Molecule: long non-coding RNA, 1350 nt
Filed under: Papio anubis (olive baboon)
Lineage: Eukaryota; Metazoa; Chordata; Mammalia; Primates; Cercopithecidae
Description: lncRNA (ENSPANG00000046415.1)
Source: RNAcentral
UUUUACCUCUCCAUUCAGUUUCUUUGCCUAGCUUCAGCUCUGAGAAUCCUAGCCUGGGUUAGAGACCUGAGCCUUCCCACUUUAUGAGAAUAAACCUACAGUUACUUGCAUUGUUCCAGGAAGCAAAAGAAUACAGAGUUAAGAGUAAAUAAUAAGCUCUGGAGUUAAGCUGCCUGGGUUCAUAUCCUGGUUUCAACACUAAAGAGCUGUAAGUUUGGUCAAAUAACCUUUGUGAUUUCAGUUUACUUAGCUAUAAAGUAAAAUAAGAGUAGUGCCUAUUGCACAACAUUUUUGUGAGAAGUAAAGGAAAUAACAUGGGUGAAGCACCUGGCAAAAUGCCUGGCUUAUUGUAAGGGCUCAGAAAUAGUAGCUCUUAUUAUUAUUGGAAGAGCCAAUUUAAAUCCCAGGGAUCACCUCAGCAGCAUGGUUAAUAUCCCACGUGUCCUUCUUGUAAAAUGGGUGUUCAUUAGCUACUGCUGCAUCACAAAGUAACACAACUUAGUAGCUUAGAGCAACCACAUUUAUGAUCUCACAGUUUCUAUGGGCCAGGAGUCUGGUGCCUAGCUGGGUCCCCUACAAGGCUGCUGUCAAGGUGUGAACCAUGGUUUGUUUCUCAUCUGGAGGCUCAACUGGGGAGAGCCCACUUCCAACUCACUCAGAUUCUGCCUACACUAAAGGGGAGAGGAUCACAUGAAGGCAUGAAUACCAGGAGGUGGGCAUCAUGGGGUCAUCUUCGUGUCUAUCUGCCACCAGAGAGACGAUAAAAAAAGAAACAAGCUCAUGGGUUGUUGUGAGGAUGAAUUGAGUCAAUGUUAGCAAAGCGUUUAAGAUGGUGCCUGAUGCAUAGUAGGAGCUCAGUGAGGGUUUUCCAUUAUAAUCAGGCCAAUGAGUGGAGGAGAAAGCUGGGUUGGAAUGAAUGAAUGAAUGAAGCUGCUUUCAGGAUUCAUAACUGAGUAGAUUCUUCCCAGGCUAGCUUUAUGCAAGCCUAAUUUCCCCAGUGGUUUUAGAUUAGCGGCUGCAAGCUCUGCUGUGGGUGGUGUUGAAUGUCAACUGUGGGUGGGUAUUACUUGCAUUAGUCAUGUGUAACUAAUUUAAAGUACACUGUGUUUUCAGGCAAGUGUCUGUAAUUGCCAUUUUUGCUAAUUGUGAGAAUGACUUGUUUGCCAUCUUCCCUCACAACUAUAGAAAAAAGAGUCAGGAAUCGAGGAGUGCACUUGAAUAAAUUGGCCUCCUCCUAAGUGAGGUCCCCAGGUAUUGGUUCGGUGUAACAGGCUGGCUUGUAAGCAAAGUUCAGAUACUCACAAAGCUUGGGUCAGUUCAAAAUUAUCCUGGCCAACCACAGAUUCUCUG